RNAcentral lists this transfer RNA (87 nucleotides) under Libocedrus plumosa. RNAcentral's name for it is "tRNA-Ser". Lineage: Eukaryota; Viridiplantae; Streptophyta; Pinopsida; Cupressales; Cupressaceae. The record is from RNAcentral.
GAUAAGAUGACUGAGCGGUUCAAGGCGUAGCAUUGGAACUGCUAUGUAGGCUUCUUUUUACCGAGGUCCUUUUCCGUCGCCUUAUUC